Long non-coding RNA from Homo sapiens (human), 1142 nucleotides. The record is from Ensembl. NCBI's taxonomy places the organism in Eukaryota, Metazoa, Chordata, Mammalia, Primates, Hominidae.
AUAGUCUCCAUAAUCUAAUCUCCAGAAUGCACUAAACCAGGAGAAGAUCCACCUGGAUAAUUUCGUUGUCAAAGGAAUGGAAGAAUAUUAAGGAGAACAAGUCCUCAUCUCUCCAAAGACCCUUCAUCCUUCAUUUCACAAUAGUCUUUAUUGGUCUGCUGGAGUUUGCUGGAGGUCCACUCCAGACCCUGUUUGCCUGGGUAUCACCGGCAGAGGCUGCAGAGCAGCAAAGAUUGCUGCCUGCUCCUUCCUCUGGAAGCUUCAUCCCAAAGGGGCACCCGCCUGAUGCCAGCCAGAGCUCUCCUGUACGAGAGAUGCCCUGCCCAGUGAGGAGGAAUCUAGAGAAGCAGUCUGGCCAUAGCUUUGCUGCACUGCGGUCAUGACAUUUUGAGCACAAUUGUGUGUGGGAUGCAUUCAUCAAUAGAGCUGGAAGCACCAACCACCAUAGGAGAGGCCAGCAAGAAUUCCUGUGGAUGAUGGUUUCUCAUGCAUUGCUUGUGGGAAGGUAUAAGAAAAUGGUGCAGCUCCUUCGGAAAACAGACUAGUAGCUCCCCAAAGGUUUAAACAUAAAGUCACCAAAUGACCUAGAUAUUCCACUCCUAGGUAUACGGCCAAGAGAAAUGGAAGUAUAUAUCCACACAAAAAUUUGCAUACAAUUAUUCAUAGCAGCAUCAUUCAUAAAAGCCAAAAGUGUGAACGACCCAAAUGUCCAUCAACUGAUGAAUUGUUAAACAAAAUGUGGUCCUAUCCAUGCAAUGGAAUAUUACUCAGCAAUAGAAAGGAAUGAAGUUCUGAUGCAUGCUGCAACAUGGAUGAACCCUGAAAAUAUUAUACCAAGUGAAAGAAGCCUGACAUAAAAUGCCACAUACAGUAUGAUUCCAUGCGUGUAAAAUGUCUACAAUAGAUCAAUCUAUAGAGACAGAAAGUAGAUUAAUGGUUGCCAGGAAUUGGGGGUGAGAGGGAUUAGAGAAUGACUGCUAAUAGGUAGAUUUCCUUUUGGAAUGAUGAAAUGUUCCCAAAUCAAUUGUGGUGAUGGUCGCACAACUCUUUGAAUAUGUUAAAAUCUACUGAACUCUAUACUUUAAAUGGGUGAAAUGUUACAUGAAUUAUGUCUCCAAAAUAAAGCAUACUUACCUAUGCUU